UGCUUCCAGCUUGCAGUUGAACAAGCCCGAUGCCAGAUCUCGAGGCCUCCUGUAUUGGAGAUUCCCAGAAAAAGCCCUGCCUUCCUGUCAUCUUUCUCAAUUUAUGCUCUUCAUGAUGUUCCUUUCCAGGUCCUCUCUGAUUGGAGGACUCAGAUCUCAAUCAGGACAAGAGAUGGGUCUUCCAGACACCAAGACACCCAGGUGGCAAUCCAGAAUGGCUACAAGACCCCACAUGGACUGUGCCUAGCUGGGAACUCAAACCACCUGAAAGUUCCAAGUUCCUGGACCCUGGACCGUAUUCCUUCCCCACCCCACAAACAGAUCUCAAACGCUUCCUCUGGUUCCCGACUGGCUUCCUCUCGGAUGAUAAAAGCUGCGGUACAACAGAGUCUACACUCAGAAACAGGUGGGAGGAUUGGACAGAUGCCUUGGGGCGAACCCCUCACCCCAGAACAGGAUGGGCCUCGGAACUUAGCAUAAGGAUGGCCUGAACAAACCGCAGGCAUGGAGAAUCAUCCACUGGAUCAUAUGUUCAGCGAGAGUCCUCCUCUCCCCCAUACACUUGCGGUCACCACACAUACACACUCUCACACACCACUCAGCUCACCUGAAGGUCUGGUUCAAGACAGUGCCUUUGGCCCCUCUGUUAAAGGGGUUCCGAGGUGGGGACAAGGAGUACGAGCCCCCAUAUGUUAGGGUCCGGGUUUUCACCCACCACCACAGAAGAUCAAUAGACAAUGCAAUUAGCAAGCAGGUCGUUUAUUGAACUGGUACACACCAGGGGAAACUCAGCCACAGAGUUCCCCCAUAGCUCCUGACUGCUGGGAUUAUAUACUCUCCAGCAUGUAUGGCCCGCACUAGUCCUCAUCUGGUACAUACCAUUGUUGGAAUGUUGCCGGCAUUUAUGGCCCCUAAGUUUUUAUCUGGUACCUGCUGUUGAGACCUUUGACAUAUUAACUUCCAAGGCCUGGCAGUUUCCUGCUCAGGCCUCCCUCACUAGCAAGAGAGGGAUGUCUCAUGCUAGGAAAAUUGCCACUGGAAUGUGAACAUGGAAAUAUUAGCAGCAGAUAGAAAACUAGGCCUGGAGAUGGGAGGUCCUGGGUUUAAUUAGAUAUGACCUCAUAUACUUCCUAACUAUGUGAUCCUGGGCAAGUCACUUAACACCAAAUGCCUAAUCAUUACCAUGUUUCUGCCAUGGAACCAAUGCUUAGUAUCAUUUCUAAGAUAGUCAGCAAGAGUUUUGGAGGGUUUGGUUUUUUUAAUAAAAUGUAUUUAUUUUAUUUUAAAAUCUUAAUU
RNAcentral lists this long non-coding RNA (1296 nucleotides) under Monodelphis domestica (gray short-tailed opossum). Its description in RNAcentral is "lncRNA (ENSMODG00000045783.1)". The record is from RNAcentral. Lineage: Eukaryota; Metazoa; Chordata; Mammalia; Didelphimorphia; Didelphidae.